GAACGCAGAUUUUGUUAUAUCGCCCGUUAGUGUUGACUGAGACAGCACAUGCGGAUAUAUAAAGUCCUCCGUAUUUUACAUAAUAAUGAUAUCGUUAGUUGUAUUUAAUUGUGUGUCUAAUAUCUUCGACGUUUUCCGUGUUCGGAUAUUUCUUGUUCGAUUCUUUCCGUUCGAAAUAAUUCGGAAGAGUUUUCGUUACAGAUUAAACUUGUCCGGAGAAAAGUCUCGUUGUCCCUGUACAGCCGUGAACAUCGCACACCUGGUUUUUGCAGGCUUAACUGAAAAAAAGAAUUCCUUUUUAAAUUAAAACAAUAUAAUAGUACGUUCGGUGUAAUAAUGUUAUGGUUUUGUAAAAAAUGUACCUACAUUUCGAAAAUUAAAAUGUUAAUGACACAUUAUUUCGUUUCAUCAUCGUAUAUUGUAAUAUUUUGGAAUGGAGUAUUGUUACUGAAAUAAAUAUAUUUAAGUGCAUGUUUUAUCUACUUCUUUGUUCAGUUUAAAAUUCUCUAUACGUUGUCCCAUGAGAUACCCAUUGAUAA
Cinara cedri is the source of this 539-nucleotide non-coding RNA. The record is from the annotation of a GenBank genome assembly. NCBI's taxonomy places the organism in Eukaryota, Metazoa, Arthropoda, Insecta, Hemiptera, Aphididae.